RNAcentral lists this ribosomal RNA (375 nucleotides) under uncultured organism. RNAcentral's name for it is "bacterial SSU rRNA". It matches the Rfam family "Bacterial small subunit ribosomal RNA", at positions 528 to 896 of the family's 1533-position model. The record is from RNAcentral.
GGGGGGGCAAGCGUUGUUCGGAAUUACUGGGCGUAAAGGGCUCGUAGGCGGCCAACUAAGUCACACGUGAAAUCCCCAGGCUUAACCUGGGAACUGCGUGUGAUACUGGAUGGCUUGAAUUCGGGAGAGGGAUGCAGGAAUUCCAGGUGUAGCGGUGAAAUGCGUAGAUAUCUGGAGGAAUACCGGGUGGCGAAGGCGGCAUCCUGGACCCGACAUUGACGCUGAGGAGCGAAAGCUAGGGGAAGCAAACGGGGAUUAGAUACCCCGGUAGUCCUAGCCCUAAACGAUGAAUGCUUGGUGUGGCGGGUAUCGAUCCCUGCCGUGCCGAAGCUAACGCAUUAAGCAUUCCGCCUGGGGAGUACGGUCGCAAGGCUG